This 295-nucleotide long non-coding RNA is filed under the name Brassica rapa (field mustard). RNAcentral's name for it is "long non-coding RNA (BRAP_LNC001822)". Lineage: Eukaryota; Viridiplantae; Streptophyta; Magnoliopsida; Brassicales; Brassicaceae. The record is from RNAcentral.
AAUUAUGCAAUUUGACAUAUUUAAUAUAGUUACCAAAAAUUAUAUUAAAUUAAAUUAAUACUAAAAACAAAUAUGAUUACAAAAAUAACACAAAUACAAAAAUUAAAUUUCUCAAAAAAAAUAAACAAAAAAUAAAAGGGCGGGUCAGAAUCCAAAUUGUCACUAUUUAUUUAAAUCCAAACGCAGCUUUUGCGGUUGGUAGCGGUUGUCGGCGGUUUGCAACAAUCACUCAAAUCGCUAUAAACCGCUUCAAACCGCUACGAAUCUCAUAAAUUCAAAAGCUGGCUCCAGCUAA